This 491-nucleotide ribosomal RNA is filed under the name uncultured bacterium. RNAcentral describes it as "partial 16S ribosomal RNA". It matches the Rfam family "Bacterial small subunit ribosomal RNA", at positions 29 to 507 of the family's 1533-position model. The record is from RNAcentral.
GUGAACGCUGGCGGUAGGCCUAACACAUGCCAGUCGAACGGCAGCACAGUAAGAGCUUGCUCUUACGGGUGGCGAGUGGCGGACGGGUGAGGAAUACAUCGGAAUCUACUUUUUCGUGGGGGAUAACGUAGGGAAACUUACGCUAAUACCGCAUACGACCUACGGGUGAAAGCAGGGGAUCUUCGGACCUUGCGCGAUUGGAUGAGCCGAUGUCGGAUUAGCUAGUUGGCGGGGUAAAGGCCCACCAAGGCGACGAUCCGUAGCUGGUCUGAGAGGAUGAUCAGCCACACUGGAACUGAGACACGGUCCAGACUCCUACGGGAGGCAGCAGUGGGGAAUAUUGGACAAUGGGCGCAAGCCUGAUCCAGCCAUACCGCGUGGGUGAAGAAGGCCUUCGGGUUGUAAAGCCCUUUUGUUGGGAAAGAAAAGCAGCAGGUUAAUACCCCGCUGUUCUGACGGUACCCAAAGAAUAAGCACCGGCUAACUUCGUG